This 484-nucleotide ribosomal RNA is filed under the name uncultured bacterium. RNAcentral's name for it is "partial 16S ribosomal RNA". It matches the Rfam family "Bacterial small subunit ribosomal RNA", at positions 30 to 507 of the family's 1533-position model. The record is from RNAcentral.
AUUGAACGCUAGCGGGAGGCUUUACACAUGCAAGUCGAACGGCAGCGGGGACUUCGGUCUUGCGGCGAGUGGCGAACGGGUGAGUAAUGUAUCGGAACGUGCCCAGUAGCGGGGGAUAACUACGGGAAAGCGUAGCUAAUACCGCAUACGCCCUGCGGGGGAAAGCAGGGGAUCGUCAGACCUUGCACUAUCGGAUCAGCCUAGAUCGGAUUAGCUAGUUGGUGGGGUAACGGCCUACCAAGGCGACGAUCCGUAGCUGGUCUGAGAGGACGAUCAGUCACACUGGGACUGAGACACGGCCCAGACUCCUACGGGAGGCAGCAGUGGGGAAUUUUGGACAAUGGGGGCAACCCUGAUCCAGCCAUCCCGCGUGUGUGAAGAAGGUCUUCGGGUUGUAAAGCACUUUUGGCAGGAAAGAAACGUAGCGAGCUAAUACCCCGCUGAUCUGACGUUACCUGCAGAAUAAGCACCGGCUAACUACGUG